RNAcentral lists this long non-coding RNA (1536 nucleotides) under Lathyrus oleraceus (garden pea). RNAcentral's name for it is "Pisum sativum (pea) long non-coding RNA (PSAT_LNC041377)". Lineage: Eukaryota; Viridiplantae; Streptophyta; Magnoliopsida; Fabales; Fabaceae. The record is from RNAcentral.
AAAAAAAAUCAUAAAAGUUUUUCUUGAUCUCAGCUUUCACUCUCUUUCUUCAAGGGACUCUCAGGAUAAAAGAACAGCAACACAACCUCUUUCUCUCCCGGACAACCUUCCAUCUCUCAUUGUUUCUUCAAACACAACAACACAAAUCUCUCUUCAUACUCCCUUAAAUAGUAAUAAUACUUUAACACCUCCACCGCCUCUGUUUUGCCACCAGAAAUUUUAAGUGCUUCUCAUCAAAAACAUUCAUCAACGUGAAGCCGUCGGUAACCGCCACAAAGUCACUUCAAAACUCGCCGACGGACUCAUCCUUGACUUCGACGUCUCUUUGAUAUCAGGUAGUUGGAUUUGAUUCCUUAAUGUUUAUUUUUAAGUUGCAUUUACUUUGAUUCAUUAUUGGAGGAUGACGUGAUCUCUUUUUUUCUGCUAAUAUGCUUUGGCGUUUUGAUAUUUGUGUGUUGUCUCGAUUGUAUAUAAUUGUUUAGUGUGAGUAACUUAUGUUAAGGUUAAGUGUUCUUUUUUCUAUAUUGUUUAAUUUGGCUUUCUAAUGUGUCACGAUAAGGAUUUAAAGUUUAUAAAACAUAAUAGCAACAAAAUUCAUAUGGGCACUGUUGUACCGAAAAUGACUCAUCCAUAUCUCCUUUCAUGCUAAUGUGUACCGUAGUGACCUUUCCAUGCUAAUAUCUCAUACUUGAAGUUCAUAUGGACUUCAUGUAUACUGUAAAUGACAUUUAUAUGUAUUUUCUUUAUAUUGUUUUAUUUUUUAUAUUUUAUUUUGUUUUAUCUUCACUUUUAUUUUUUAUGUCUCCUUUUACUACAUAUUAAAAUAAAUACUUUGUUUCAUAAAUGAUAAUUGAAAAAUCUAACAAUCCACACUUUUUUAAUUUAAACGUAAUUCUUUUUGCUCAAUAAUUUGGAUGAAAAUAACUAAUUGUGUGUAGAAUUUUUUUUCUUCCUCGAGUAGUUAAACAUUGUUGUAGAGCUUUCUGCAUGAAUAAUCGUUUUCCGUUAAUGAACCUUGGCUUGAAUUUGCAUUAAGUUAGCUUAUAGCUAAAUUCACUACUUAAAAAUUCAAUUUAUUUGUUCAAUUGAUUUUCCACAAAUGCAUUGCAAUUUCGGAGUUAAAAAUUCAAUUUAACUUCAGAAAUUUCUUACACGCAUAGAGUCUUGUUGACCGGCCUCGGAUAUGGUGACUCCUACAUGAGUCACUUUAUGAUUGCUUAAUAUUGUGCUAAAUUUUUUUUUAGUUUAAUUUCUGAUUUUUAUUUCGAGUCCCUUGGCUUUCUCUUGGGCCUUCUUACAACGAGAUUCUUUAUUUUACAACUGUCUUUUGAACUUGUACUGUUUAAAUUAUUGUGUUAUAUCCCCAUUCGAAAAAUUGUACCCCCAUUCCCGAAAAUGUGUAAUAAGUUUAUCACUUUCAUUUACUUUAUUAUAUCACUUGAUUGUUAAUUCAAAGAUAAAAAUCAACCUUUUUUAGAAAAGAACAAAAAAAAACAAAUACUCGAUCCAACGUCGAGAAAUUUUCACACAAAAAAU